CAAAAACAUAGCCGCGCGCAAUUACCCGCGGUACUUUCUGCUCAGUGAGACUUAAACAGCCGCAGUACCUUGACUGUGCAAAGGUAGCGUAAUCAGUUGUCUUCUAAUUAAAGUCUUGUAUCAACGAACAUAUGGGGGCCCACUAUACCAGUAAUAUUAAAUGAAUUUACUAAAGGGGUGAAAAUACCCUUGUAACUUAAUAGACGAGAAGACCCUAGAAAUUUUCACAGACGUUUUUGUUGGGGCAACAUGGUAACAUACAACUUACCUUAUAGACACGAAAUGGUUUGGAUAGUAUAAAUUACUCUAGGGAUAACAGCAUAAUGAUAAAUCGUUUGUGACCUCGAUGUUGGAUUAGGAAGUUACAACUUAAAAGGUGACUAACUCUGCUCUGUUCGAGCA
RNAcentral lists this ribosomal RNA (402 nucleotides) under Galadistes liverpoolensis. Its description in RNAcentral is "partial 16S ribosomal RNA". It matches the Rfam family "Archaeal large subunit ribosomal RNA", at positions 1900 to 2656 of the family's 2987-position model. Lineage: Eukaryota; Metazoa; Mollusca; Gastropoda; Stylommatophora; Camaenidae. The record is from RNAcentral.